AGUGCACUUCAUUGUGGCUCCCUAUUAUAUUUCACAUUACCC
RNAcentral lists this ribosomal RNA (42 nucleotides) under Ravenelia macowaniana. RNAcentral's name for it is "partial 18S ribosomal RNA". Lineage: Eukaryota; Fungi; Basidiomycota; Pucciniomycetes; Pucciniales; Raveneliaceae. The record is from RNAcentral.